AAAUAUUAAUUCACACCCACCAACGCCAGGGUAUUACGAGCUUUAGCUUAAAACCCAAAGGACUUGACGGUGUCCCAUCCACCUAGAGGAGCCUGUUCCAUAAUCGAUAAUCCCCGCUAUACCUAACCACCCCUUGCUAAUCAGUCUGUAUACCUCCGUCGUAAGCUUACCAUAUGAAUGCCUACAGUAAGUUUAAUGGCCACAAGCACCAGUACGUCAGGUCAAGGUGCAGCUCAUGAGAUGGCAGGUAAUGGGCUACAAUUUCUAUACUAGAACAAACGAAACGCUGCAUGAAAUACAGCCACGAAGGCGGAUUUAGUAGUAAAAAGAAAAUAGCGUGUUCUUUUUAACUAGGCCCUGGGACGUGU
RNAcentral lists this ribosomal RNA (368 nucleotides) under Quasipaa jiulongensis (Jiulong spiny frog). RNAcentral describes it as "partial 12S ribosomal RNA". It matches the Rfam family "Bacterial small subunit ribosomal RNA", at positions 875 to 1384 of the family's 1533-position model. Lineage: Eukaryota; Metazoa; Chordata; Amphibia; Anura; Dicroglossidae. The record is from RNAcentral.